Non-coding RNA from Arachis ipaensis, 2245 nucleotides. Lineage: Eukaryota; Viridiplantae; Streptophyta; Magnoliopsida; Fabales; Fabaceae. The record is from RefSeq and is a predicted model, not a curated record.
CAAAUUUUAAUUCCCCCCAAAACCAAAAGCAGGAAAGAAAACACAAGCAAUAACUGAUUCAUCACCUCCUCACUCCUGUUAGUCUAUUACUUAGAAACAGAACUCAAAUCCUACUAUUUUAGAAUCAAAAUCCUAACCCCCAACCCUAGCUCAAUUUUCCCAAUUUGACGACAUUGACUCGCGUUUUGCGUUCCUUUCUCUCGCCAUUGUCCUGGAAGGUUCUUUCGAGUGGAUGCGCCAGCUCCAUGGAGGCUUGCUCGGGCGGCGCGUGUGAGUUUCAUGGUUGAUUGCAGAGGCACGUUGGUCUCCGUUCUCUCCCAAACGAACGCUUGGAUGGCGUUCAGAAUCAAAAUCAUGAAUAACCCCUAAUUCCCUAAUCCCAUCCCUAACACAAUUUCCCCAAUUUCACAACACUGAUGCGUGCAUUCUGCGUUUCUCUCUGCUCUGCCGAGUUCUGCUCUACUCCGCCGUGUUCUUCUGCUCCACCGUGUUCUUCUCCUUGCAUCGAGUUCUGAUUUGCUCCACCAUGUUCUUCUGCUCGGGCCGAGGAAUUUCAUGUAACUCAAUUAGAUUACAGAAAGGCUAUUUGCAGAUAAAUAUGAGGCAGAGUUGUUAAGCAAGAAAUAUGAGGAGAAGUACAAACAUUGUAGCGGAAAUAACAUCCAAAUUGAUUGUUGAAUAAGCUAAAUUUCGUGAUAUACAGUUUGAAUGGGCUUGGCAGCACCCUGUCGAAUCCUUGCCUGUAAGGAAGGCAGCUGCAAAAUUUAAAUCUCUUUCGGGAGUUGCCAAUAAGAUCAAACUCGCAUACAUAAUUCUCACCUACCAUCUUGGCAGAGCAUGAAUAUGACAGUGAACUUCUCCACAAAGUAUAUGAAACAUUGUGCUGGUUGCCCAAGCUUGCCAGAGCACACGACGAUUGAGAUGGGCGAAAUGGAUCGGAUGAACUCCCAUGUUAUACUGGGAGAAUUGAUGGUUUGGUAUCAGAUAAUGAUGACAUUGAUGAAGGAGAGUUUGGUAAAAAUAAUAGUAAUGAAUAUACCAAAAUCAGUUAGUGCUUGUUUGGAUUUGUUUGCAUGUCCCUAAUGGAUAUUUGGUAUAUGAGUUAUAUAGAAAAUGAAAUUGGUUAGAAUAAUCAUGCUUCUCACUAUAGAAAAUGAAAUUACUGCUUAAUUAAUUCUAGUCCUGUAAAAUCACUACAAUGUUUCAUUGUUAUGAUAUAUUUAUCUGCCUAUGAUUUAAUCACUAAAUGAUGCUAGUUGAGUUUUUAAUAUCUAUUUUAAUUAGAAUUUCAUUAGUUAUUAAGGUUUUAUCUCUUUUUUGAAUUUCAUCACCUUUUGUUUGUUCUCAGAGCUAUACUACUGGAAAUGCAAUUCCAAGUCUUUUUAAAAAUGUGGAGAAAGUAUUUCUCAAAAAGUAUUGGGCCAAAUGAAAAGCAGACCAUACUGGUCGAAGGUAAAUCUAAUUUAUCAUACAAUGCAAUUUACACCAGGGCUAGCUGAUAUUAAUUUUUCUUCUGCAUUAAAUUUUAGAUCCUAAGCCAUACAAUGCAAUUUACACCAGACCGCUUGUGGCAUGAUUUGUUUCCUUCUCAAUAGAAAGUAUUAUUUAGAAACCCCCUCUUUCCAAGCCUCUUGGCUCUACUUUCUAAAGCCCCACAUAGUGAAGUAAAAAAGUCUAACUUGUUGAUUCUGACUAUGCCUAACAAUUUUUUAUUCAAGAUGAUGUAUAUUUGUGCCUCACAAAUUAAGAGAGGUACGUAGUAGGCUGGCAAAUUGGUAAGUCUUUCAAUUAUUGAGACCUUGUUAUUAUCUUGAAAGCUUUGGACAGAUGAAGCUUGGAUUACUAAUUUACAGAUUUUACUGUAAUGAAUGGAUUUAGGUUAUUUAUCUAUUUCUUCCAUGCUGUCAGGUCCUGUCUCCAUUAAAGGAUGGAAUUGUUGCAGAUUGGGACAUUGUUGACAACAUAUGGGAUCAUGCCUUCAGGAGAUUGAUAAAAAAUAUUUGCGGAUCUUUAGUGAACACUAAGUAUAAAUUGUGCAUAUAUAGCAAAUUGUUGCGGCAUCACCUCAUUUAGCAUAUGGAACAAGUGAAACAUGGAUAUAAAAUAUGCAAGUAGAUUGACAUCUUUUUGAUAAAUAUUAAUUACUAUUUUGUUAUGAUAAUUAUUGUUAGCCAAGAAUUUUAUUAUUUUGUUAAAAAUUAUUGAUGAACAUGAAUUUGAAAUACUAAUUGAACUUUUUAAUAUC